RNAcentral lists this ribosomal RNA (520 nucleotides) under Microhyla nilphamariensis. Its description in RNAcentral is "partial 16S ribosomal RNA". It matches the Rfam family "Bacterial large subunit ribosomal RNA", at positions 1856 to 2592 of the family's 2925-position model. Lineage: Eukaryota; Metazoa; Chordata; Amphibia; Anura; Microhylidae. The record is from RNAcentral.
AGCCUGCCCAGUGACUAAGUUAAACGGCCGCGGUACCCUAACCGUGCAAAGGUAGCGCAAUCACUUGUUCUUUAAAUGAGGACUAGUAUGAACGGCAUCACGAGGGUUAUACUGUCUCCCUAUUCCAUUCAGUGAAACUGAUCUUCCCGUGAAGAAGCGGGAAUAUAAAUAUAAGACGAGAAGACCCCAUGGAGCUUUAAACUCAGUGUCAUCUGCCACUUCAAUAUCCUCUUAACCACGCAGACAUGAUAACUAGUUUUCGGUUGGGGUGACCGCGGAGUAAAACAAAACCUCCACAACGAAAGGAACUAACAACCUAAUCCAAGAGCAACAUCUCUAAGAAUCAACAAAUUGACUUAAUUGAUCCAAUUACUUGAUCAACGAACCAAGUUACCCUGGGGAUAACAGCGCAAUCCAUUUCAAGAGCUCAUAUCGACAAAUGGGUUUACGACCUCGAUGUUGGAUCAGGGUAUCCCAGUGGCGCAGCAGCUACUAACGGUUCGUUUGUUCAACGAUUAAA